RNAcentral lists this transfer RNA (68 nucleotides) under Schistosoma indicum. Its description in RNAcentral is "tRNA-Thr". Lineage: Eukaryota; Metazoa; Platyhelminthes; Trematoda; Strigeidida; Schistosomatidae. The record is from RNAcentral.
GCAGGUAAAGUUUAUAUAGAAUGUUAGUUUUGUAAACUAAUGGAAAUAAUUUUAUUUAUUUGCCUGUU